This 669-nucleotide ribosomal RNA is filed under the name Triticum aestivum (bread wheat). Its description in RNAcentral is "partial small subunit ribosomal RNA". The record is from RNAcentral. Lineage: Eukaryota; Viridiplantae; Streptophyta; Magnoliopsida; Poales; Poaceae.
AUGGAAGAGGUUAGCCUCUUGGACCCUGAGACUUACGAGAAAAGAACCACCCUGAGUGCUGAGCUGAAUGAUAUCCUGGCUGAUGAAGAGCUAUUUUUGCUUCAGCAGUCGAAUGAACGAUGGUUGUUAAAAGGGGACUGUAACACAACCUAUUUCCACCGGAUAGCUAAUGGUAGGAAGAGAAAGAACACCAUUCAUUCCCUCGAUGAUGGGGAUAGGGUCAUAGAGGGCACAAAAAAUCUCUUGGAGCAUGCCACUUCUUAUUACAAGGGACUCUUUGGCCCAGCCAACGGAAAUAUGUUUCACCUCUCUCCUGAAACCUGGUCUGAUGAGGAGAAACUUACGGAAGAUGACAACCUCAUCCUGACUGGUGCUUUCACCAAAAAGGAAGUCAAAAAAGCCUUAUUCAGCAUGAAUAGUAAUGGGGCCCCUGGACCUGAUAAUAUUCUAGUUGAGUUUUAUAAACAUUGUUGGGACUUCGUCAAAAAAGAUAUCAUGAGACUUUUUGAAGCAUUCCAUAACAACACCCUGGAUGUUGAUCGCCUGAACUAUGGGAUUAUCACCUUGAUUCCAAAGGUCAAUGGGGCUAAACGCAUCCAACAAUACCGUCCUAUUUGCUUGCUUAGAUGCCCCUAUAAACUUAUUACUAAGGUGUUGGACAAUAGGUGA